Non-coding RNA from Triticum aestivum (bread wheat), 124 nucleotides. Lineage: Eukaryota; Viridiplantae; Streptophyta; Magnoliopsida; Poales; Poaceae. The record is from Rfam.
CACGUACUCCCUCCGUUCGGAAUUACUUGUCGUAGAAAUGGAUGUAUCUAGACGUAUUUUAGUUAUAGAUACAUUCAUUUUAUCCAUUUUCGAGACAAGUAAUUUGAAACGGAGGGAGUACGUG